CAGAGGGUGCAAGCGUUGUUCGGAAUUACUGGGCGUAAAGGGCGCGUAGGCGGUUUACCAAGUCAGAUGUGAAAGCCUGGGGCUUAACCCCAGAAGUGCAUUUGAAACUGGUAGGCUAGAGUGCAGUAGAGAAUGGCGGAAUUCCCAGUGGAGAGGUGAAAUUCGUAGAUAUUGGGAGGAACACCGGUGGCGAAGGCGGCCAUUUGGGCUGUAACUGACGCUGAGGCGCGAGAGCGUGGGUAGCAAACAGGAUUAGAUACCCUGGUAGUCCACGCUGUAAACUAUGGAUACUCGCUGUGGCUGGUAUUGACCCCGGCCGUAGCCAAGUUAACACGUUAAGUAUCCCGCCUGGGGAGUACGGUCGCAAGAUUA
RNAcentral lists this ribosomal RNA (372 nucleotides) under uncultured organism. RNAcentral describes it as "bacterial SSU rRNA". It matches the Rfam family "Bacterial small subunit ribosomal RNA", at positions 526 to 896 of the family's 1533-position model. The record is from RNAcentral.